This 308-nucleotide long non-coding RNA is filed under the name Glycine max (soybean). RNAcentral's name for it is "long non-coding RNA (GMAX_LNC003382)". Lineage: Eukaryota; Viridiplantae; Streptophyta; Magnoliopsida; Fabales; Fabaceae. The record is from RNAcentral.
CCAUCAAGGACGUAAACGACAGCCACGUGGCGGAGAUCGCCAACUACGCGCUGAGCGAGUACGACAAGCGUUCUGGGGCCAAGCUCACCCUUGUCAAGGUCGUCAAGGGCGAGACUCAGGUCGUUUCCGGCACCAACUACCGUCUCGUCCUCAAAGCCAAGGAUGGAUCCGCCACGGCCAGUUACGAAGCCAUCGUCUGGGAGAAGCCUUGGCUCCAUUUCAUGAAUCUCACUUCCUUCAAACCCCUUCAUUAAUCUUAGAUCCAUACUUUUCUUCACUUUCUCUCUUAUCAUAUUUCAUGUGUUAGC